Molecule: ribosomal RNA, 233 nt
Filed under: uncultured bacterium
Lineage: Bacteria
Description: partial 16S ribosomal RNA
Rfam family: Bacterial small subunit ribosomal RNA
Source: RNAcentral
UUCCGGUUGAUCCUGCCGGACUAGAGUUAAGUUGGAGUGGGCGGAAUGUGUUGUGUAGCGGUGAAAUGCUUAGAUAUAACACAGAACACCGAUCGCGAAGGCAGCUCACUAAACUUAGACUGACGCUCAUGCACGAAAGCGUGGGGAUCAAACAGGAUUAGAUACCCUGGUAGUCCACGCUGUAAACGAUGAUCACUCGCUGUUGGCGAUAUACAGUCAGUGGCUAAGCGAAA